ACUGGUGCCAGCCGCCGCGGUAAAACCAGCUCUUAGAGUGGUGGGCGUGAUUAUUUGGCUUAAAGUGUGCGUAGCAGGACAGUGUAAGUCCCCUGUGAAAUGCUAGGUCUUAAGCUUAGCGCGGGCGGGGGAUACUGCGCGUCUUGGGACCGGGAUAGGUGCAAGGUAUGCAAUGGGUAGGGGUGAAAUCCGAUAAUCCAUUGCAGACCACCGGUGGCGAAGGCGUUGCACUGGAACGGGUCCGACUGUGAGGGACGAAAGCUGGGGGAGCGAACCGGAUUAGAUACCCGGGUAGUCCCAGCUGUAAACGAUGCGGGCUAGGUGUUGGGGUGGCUACGAGCCACUUCAGUGCCGCAGGGAAGCCAUUAA
RNAcentral lists this ribosomal RNA (369 nucleotides) under uncultured archaeon. RNAcentral describes it as "bacterial SSU rRNA". It matches the Rfam family "Archaeal small subunit ribosomal RNA", at positions 451 to 818 of the family's 1478-position model. The record is from RNAcentral.